Molecule: ribosomal RNA, 441 nt
Filed under: uncultured bacterium
Lineage: Bacteria
Description: partial 16S ribosomal RNA
Rfam family: Bacterial small subunit ribosomal RNA
Source: RNAcentral
CCUACGGGAGGCAGCAGUCGGGAAUAUUGCGCAAUGGACGAAACUCUGACGCAGCGACGCCGCGUAAGGGAAGAAGGUUUUCGGAUUGUAAACUAUUGUCGUUAGGGAAGAAAAAAGACUGUACCUAAGGAGGAAGCACCGGCUAACUAUGUGCCAGCAGCCGCGGUAAUACAUAGGGGGCAAGCGUUAGCCGGACUUAUUGGGUGUAAAGGGUGCGUAGACGGAAGAAUAAGUUGGUUGUGAAAUCCCUCGGCUCAACUGAGGAACUGCAACGAAAACUAUUCUCCUUGAGUGUCGGAGAGGAAAGUGGAAGUCCAAGUGUAGCGGUGAAAUGCGUAGAUAUAUGGAGGAACACCAGUGGCGAAGGCGACUCUCUGGACGAUAACUGACGUUGAGGCACGAAAGUGUGGGGAGCAAACAGGAUUAGAUACCCGGGUAGUC